Molecule: ribosomal RNA, 406 nt
Filed under: uncultured bacterium
Lineage: Bacteria
Description: partial 16S ribosomal RNA
Rfam family: Bacterial small subunit ribosomal RNA
Source: RNAcentral
AUUGAACGCUGGCGGCAGGCCUAACACAUGCAAGUCGAACGAGUGGCGGACGGGUGAGUAAUGUCUGGGAAACUGCCCGAUGGAGGGGGAUAACUACGGGAAACGGUAGCUAAUACCGCAUACCAUCGGAUGUGCCCAGAGGGGGUUAGCUAGUGGGUGGGGUAACGGCUCACCUAGUCGACGAUCCCUAGCUGGUCUGAGAGGAUGACCAGCUACACUGGAACUGAGACACGGUCCAGACGCCGACGGGAGGCAGCAGUGGGGAAUAUUGCACAAUGGGCGCAAGCCUGAUGCAGCCAUGCCGCGUGUAUGAAGAAGGCCGUCGGGUUGUAAAGGACUUUCAGCGAGGAGGCGUUACUCGCAGAAGAAGCACCGGCUAACUCCGUGCCAGCAGCCGCGGUAAUAC